This 432-nucleotide ribosomal RNA is filed under the name uncultured bacterium. RNAcentral's name for it is "partial 16S ribosomal RNA". It matches the Rfam family "Bacterial small subunit ribosomal RNA", at positions 29 to 507 of the family's 1533-position model. The record is from RNAcentral.
ACGCACGCUUGCGGCAUGCCUCACACAUGCAAGUCGAACGAGACCUUCGGGUCUAGUGGCGCACGGUUGCGUCACGCGUGGGAACCUGCCCUUAGGUUCGGAAUAACUCCCCGAAAGGGGUGCUAAUACCGGAUAAUGUCUUCGGACCAAAGAUUUAUCGCCUUUGGAUGGGCCCGCGUUGGAUUAGCUAGUUGGUAGGGUAAAAGCCUACCAAGGCGACGAUCCAUAGCUGGUGUGAGAGGAUGAUCAGCCACACUGGGACUGAGACACGGCCCAGACUCCUACGGGAGGCAGCAGUGGGGAAUAUUGGAAAAUGGGCGAAAGCAUGAUCCAGCAAUGCCGCGUGAGUGAUGAAGGCAUUAGGGUUGUAAAGCUCUUUUACCCGGGAUGAUAAUGACAGUACCGGGAGAAUAAGCUCCGGCUAACUCCGUG